CAGCAGCCACGGUAAUACGUAGGUGGCAAGCGUUGUCCGGAAUUAUUGGGCGUAGAGGGCUCGCAGGCGGUUUCUUAAGUCUGAUGUGAAAGCCCCCGGCUCAACCGGGGAGGGUCAUUGGAAACUGGGAAACUUGAGUGCAGAAGAGGAGAGUGGAAUUCCACGUGUAGCGGUGAAAUGCGUAGAGAUGUGGAGGAACACCAGUGGCGAAGGCGACUCUCUGGUCUGUAACUGACGCUGAGGAGCGAAAGCGUGGGGAGCGAACAGGAUUAGAUACCCCAGUAGUCCCUGUCUCUUAUAC
This 301-nucleotide ribosomal RNA is filed under the name uncultured bacterium. RNAcentral's name for it is "partial 16S ribosomal RNA". It matches the Rfam family "Bacterial small subunit ribosomal RNA", at positions 509 to 807 of the family's 1533-position model. The record is from RNAcentral.